AGAGCGAACGCUGGCGGCAGGCCUAACACAUGCAAGUCGAACGGAUCCUUCGGGAUUAGUGGCGGACGGGUGAGUAACACGUGGGAACGUGCCCUUUGGUUCGGAACAACUCAGGGAAACUUGAGCUAAUACCGGAUAAGCCUUUCGAGGGAAAGAUUUAUCGCCAUUGGAGCGGCCCGCGUAGGAUUAGCUAGUUGGUGAGGUAAAAGCUCACCAAGGCGACGAUCCUUAGCUGGUCUGAGAGGAUGAUCAGCCACAUUGGGACUGAGACACGGCCCAAACUCCUACGGGAGGCAGCAGUGGGGAAUCUUGCGCAAUGGGCGAAAGCCUGACGCAGCCAUGCCGCGUGAAUGAUGAAGGUCUUAGGAUUGUAAAAUUCUUUCACCGGGACGAUAAUGACGGUACCCGGAGAAGAAGCCCGCUAACUUCGUGCCAGCAGCCGC
RNAcentral lists this ribosomal RNA (443 nucleotides) under uncultured soil bacterium. Its description in RNAcentral is "bacterial SSU rRNA". It matches the Rfam family "Bacterial small subunit ribosomal RNA", at positions 26 to 518 of the family's 1533-position model. The record is from RNAcentral.